This 292-nucleotide ribosomal RNA is filed under the name uncultured microorganism. Its description in RNAcentral is "partial 16S ribosomal RNA". It matches the Rfam family "Bacterial small subunit ribosomal RNA", at positions 505 to 796 of the family's 1533-position model. The record is from RNAcentral.
GUGCCAGCAGCCGCGGUAAUACAGAGGGUGCGAGCGUUAAUCGGAUUUACUGGGCGUAAAGCGUGCGUAGGCGGCUAAUUGAGUCGGAUGUGAAAUCCCCGAGCUUAACUUGGGAAUUGCAUUCGAUACUGGUUAGCUAGAGUGUGGGAGAGGAUGGUAGAAUUCCAGGUGUAGCGGUGAAAUGCGUAGAGAUCUGGAGGAAUACCGAUGGCGAAGGCAGCCAUCUGGCCUAACACUGACGCUGAGGUACGAAAGCAUGGGGAGCAAACAGGAUUAGAUACCCUGGUAGUCC